GAUGAACGCUGGCGGCGUGCCUAAUACAUGCAAGUCGAGCGAACGGACGAGAAGCUUGCUUCUCUGAUGUUAGCGGCGGACGGGUGAGUAACACGUGGAUAACCUACCUAUAAGACUGGGAUAACUUCGGGAAACCGGAGCUAAUACCGGAUAAUAUUUUGAACCGCAUGGUUCAAAAGUGAAAGACGGUCUUGCUGUCACUUAUAGAUGGAUCCGCGCUGCAUUAGCUAGUUGGUAAGGUAACGGCUUACCAAGGCAACGAUGCAUAGCCGACCUGAGAGGGUGAUCGGCCACAAUGGAACUGAGGAACGGUCCAGACUCCUAAGGGAAGCAGCAGUAGGGAAUCUUCCGCAAUGGGCGAAAGCCUGACGGAGCAACGCCGCGUGAGUGAUGAAGGUCUUCGGAUCGUAAAACUCUGUUAUUAGGGAAGAACAUAUGUGUAAGUAACUGUGCACAUCUUGACGGUACCUAAUCAGAAAGCCACGGCUAACUACGUG
This 497-nucleotide ribosomal RNA is filed under the name uncultured bacterium. RNAcentral describes it as "partial 16S ribosomal RNA". It matches the Rfam family "Bacterial small subunit ribosomal RNA", at positions 28 to 507 of the family's 1533-position model. The record is from RNAcentral.